Molecule: ribosomal RNA, 510 nt
Filed under: uncultured bacterium
Lineage: Bacteria
Description: partial 16S ribosomal RNA
Rfam family: Bacterial small subunit ribosomal RNA
Source: RNAcentral
GACGAACGCUGGCGGCGUGCUUAACACAUGCAAGUCGAACGAAGAGCGAUGGAAGCUUGCUUCUAUCAAUCUUAGUGGCGCACGGGUGAGUAACGCGUAAUCAACCUGCCCUUCAGAGGGGGACAACAGUUGGAAACGACUGCUAAUACCGCAUACGAUCUAAACUCGGCAUCGAGGAUAGAUGAAAGGUGGCCUCUACAUGUAAGCUAUCACUGAAGGAGGGGAUUGCGUCUGAUUAGCUAGUUGGAGGGGUAGCGGCCCACCAAGGCGAUGAUCAGUAGCCGGUCUGAGAGGAUGAACGGCCACAUUGGGACUGAGACACGGCCCAGACUCCUACGGGAGGCAGCAGUGGGGAAUCUUCCGCAAUGGACGAAAGUCUGACGGAGCAACGCCGCGUGAGUGAUGACGGCCUUCGGGUUGUAAAGCUCUGUUAAUCGGGACGAAAGGCCUUCUUGCGAAUAGUGAGAAGGAUUGACGGUACCGGAAUAGAAAGCCACGGCUAACUACGUG